UUUUACAUCGUCAGCAUUGUCAACCAAUGAAUCCAUGAAGCUAAAGAACGAGCAACAUUCAUAGUUGUAAUGAACAUCUGAACACAUCUCAUAUGCUACUAAGUUUCGAAAAAAAUAAGGUGUGACGUCAUUGAACAAAAAAAUAGGAAGCCUUAGUUCUCCAUUAAACCAUUUAGACGUGAACGAAAUGUUACUCCAGUUCCACUCAUCUGUCUUAUUUGCUACCACUUGAAUUCCUACUGUCUUUAGAUCCCGUAUGCUCUUAUAAGUAUUCCAAUUCAAAUUAAUUUCUUCCUCAUCAAUAUCUUCUUGGUCUUGAGUUUUAUUUUUCCUCAUCGAAUUGUGUUCACUUCCUUCAGAUUGUGUUUCCAUUUUACCAUGUUCUUCAAUGUUGGAAACCAUAUUGGGUGGCAAGUACACUGAACGAGCAAAAUCAAGUAUAUGAAAGGGCUUAGGAUUUUCCAAUUUGACUAUUACCAUUCCAAGUCGUUUGGAUUCACCCAUAUCAAAAGAAUUGUUAAUUAAAAAUUCCAAAUCAAUACCCAUUUCUUCGCAUAGAAUCUCAAGCAUUAUUCUUGGGAAGUUGAUUCUCCAACAAUAAAGUAUCUCUCCAUAUGUGCAUCAGUUGGUCAAACUUAAGGUUUAGGGCAUUCGGGCAUUGGUCAUCAACAUUUCCCAUAAAGUGUAGCAAAGAACAUCCAUCCACAAACAAUAUCCAAGCAAGAUCAUUAUCAUUGUAGCCUUCAAUUGCAUCCUCAGUGAACAUAUUCUUCACAUUUUCAAUAUUAUCUUCAAUCUUUUUAAGCAAAAGCUUACAUGCUUCGUUAUCAUCUUUAUCAAUUUUUUUGGCAUAAUUAGCAACAAAUAUUGAUGUCCAUAGAAGCUUGUAAUGCUCUCCUUCUUUCAGAUUUUUAGCAUUGUGAUGAAUAGGACCAAAUGAUAUAAUCUUUGGUGAACAAUACUUAUAAAAUCUUUCAUUUUGCCGCAAAAAUAUUGGAACCCUUUGGAUCUUAGGAAUCGAAAUUCGAUUAUUUCGAUCAAACCUUUCUUGUGCCUCUUUGAGUUGCGAAAGUCUUUUAUCCAUAGUAGAUAACUUUUGAAUAGUAGAUAACUUUUGAAUUGAGUAACUAAAUUUCUAAAUCUUGAAUUUGCCACAGAUAUUUUAUGUUGUAUUUUAAGUAUUCAUCUUUAUCUACAACAGAAAUAAAGCAUUUUAAUAUAUUAGUAAAAGAAAGAUAAGAUUUAACCUGAAAAAAGAAAUUAUAUAUAUAUAUAUAUAUCAUCAAUCGGACUUUAGAAAAUUUAGCACGUUAAAAUAUGAAUAUGAAAUAGAUCUGUAAGGAGGAUAAUAUUUAAUAUACUUAUAAAAAAGGUCAUGUUGAACUUGAAAAAGAAAUUCUACAACAGCUAACACAUCAAGCUUUCCACCUAGGUUUCGGCCACGCUAGAGAUCUUGAUACUUUAUUAUUAUAACUUUUUUUCAAAAUGUUUUGUUGGAACUUUGGUGUAAAGAUGGAAAGCAAUUGGAAGGUUGAAAAAAUAGAGUGUGGGGGAAAAUAAUAAUAAUUGUUAUUCUUUAUUCAUGGAAGUAAUUAAACUUUAAACAUUGUGUGUGUUCUAUUUUAUAUGGGACUAAAGAGUUCUAUUGAGUUGUCGAUAACUUUUUCUCUCUUCUCACUUUCUUGACUUGUGUUGACGAGUCUUUCUUCUCUUCAUCUUCUUUUUCUGUCCCUUCGGAAUUAAGAGUGUUCUAAUUAAGACAGUAGUCCUUUUUUCGGUAUAAUCUCCCUUCGGAAUUAAAAAUGGUAUUAAGAGUAUAGUCCCUUUGAUAUUUUUAUGUCCCUUCAGAAUAAAUAAUAUUUUAAGAUCAUAGUCCCUUUUCGGUAAAAUGUCCCUUCGAAAAUUAAGAAUGAUCUUAAAAAUAAAUUCUUCGAGAAGUUAGAUGUUAGAAUGGUGGUGGCACCAUAUUUGAGUAGUUGAAAUACCAUAUUGACAUUUGAAGAUGUUAAAAGUUAGAGUGGUGGUAACACCAUAUUUGAAUGGUCUCAGUACCAUAAUAGAAUGGUCACAGUACCAUAUAAUAGAAUGGCCUUAAUAGCCAUAUUUGAGAGUGUAAUUCUUGAACGGUUUUCUAUAGUGCAGUAGUUAAUCGUACAAUUGUAGCUGAGCUUGUUUUAUCCUGGAGGCGGCGUGGUUGAUAGUCUGCCUUGCACAAUUUUGGGCAGUGCCACGAAACGUCCUAAAGAGAGCGACCUGGUCGUAACUCAAUUUAGUAACAACUUCGAUAGAUGAAAAUUACUUUUCAAAAUAGAUUUGGAAAUGCAAAAUACAACAGUUCGGAAAUCCAAAAAUAACAUAUUUUAUAUAUAUUUUUUCAAAAGAAAUAAUAUAUACCUCAGUUGAGUGAAGGAUGGAUUGUCGAUGCUAGAGAAGUCAAGUGAAGGAGAGUUGAUUUGUUUUCAAGGUCACUAACUUUGAAUAUGUGUCGUGAAAGGCUUAAAAUUUAGUUAAAGCAUAAUGGGAUUAGAAAAUGACGUGAAGCCCACGAUCGUUGAACGUUAAUAAUUAUUUUUUAUGAACGAGUGAGGGAGGAUAUACAAUCUCUAGUGGGGAUGAGUAAAAAAGGACCUUGUCAGCAGAUGAAGCUGAGGAGAGGAGCCUGAACUCGAACGUGAGACAUCAUGAAACCACUAUAAAGGGAGUUAUUGCGCAAACCAGUGAAAUUAGCCGAAUGGCGGUUAAGCACUGUAGGCCCCGUCAUUUGGCUAGAACAUCCAAUCAAAGAUUAUUUUUAAAAUUUUUAUCUCUUUAUCUUUCUACUUUUAUCUAUGCAUUUCUUAGUGUGGUUUAUACCCAAAAAAUAAUUGUACUAAAGACUAUACUAGAGAAUUUAGGGAACCCACAGUUGAGGGAUAAAGUAAGUGCGAUAUGGUGGUUUUAGACUUAGAGUAAAGUAGACGCUGACGUAGGUGGUGGUCGCUUUCUGUAUUAAACCAUAUUCUCUUUUUCUUAAGUCAUAGAUAGGGAUCUUGUUGUUCGCGACGAAUAUUCAAACUUUUCCUCGCGGAAUCGACCUGAUCGGUGAAGGAAGGGUGGAUUUGAAUGUUAAAUUCAUUUUUUUCAUCUUUCCCUUUUAGGUUUUAUAUGGCUCAUAUGCGAGUGUGGUCACAAACAAUUAUCAAUUGACAAACCCUCGCACAUUUAUGUAUUUAAGCACCUUCUCGAUGUUCUCAAUGUGCUUGUCAGGUGGGGGUUCGAGUUUCCCUAAUCCUUCUGGUGAAGAGCUCGUAUGUUGCACAAUCAACAUAUGAGUAAGAUGAGGAUCGCGAGUGUUUGGACGUGUGCCUUUGUGAACGGUGUGAUCUUGUUGAUCUUCUUGCAUAUUCCUUCAGAGGAUGUCAGGGAGAUCUAGAUCUCUUUAAAGCUGGGCUCUUUCCCCUUCUUCUACACUGGGAAGCGCGAGAACAAACAACUCGUCUGGGGGCGAGAGACCUUCGACGUGUGUUUUGGAUAUCUCCAUACUUGUUUUGAUCAUCGAUCAUUUGUGUUUGUUGACAUAAGGUCUGGAUGAUGUUGCUGAGCAAGGCGUUUGUAGAAGACAUGUUGUUCGUUCCUUCUUUUACUGGUGAAGGAUCGUAAAACGGUGCCUUGGAGAGAGGAAUUACCAACUGUGAUAUUUUCUGAUGGGUCUCCUCCCUGGGGCUGUCAGUAGGGGACAAAGUCAAGGCUUGUUCGUUACGAUGGACGCGCCGGACCUUGCUCCUUAGUUGUGUGGACACACCGUCAACCAUUUUUUAGUAAGAUUUUUUUUUUUGGUUUUUUGUGUAGUUUUGGUCUUUUGUGAGUGAAAAGAUGAGGAUUAUUAGUUUCCCAUUAAUAUUACUUGAUAAGAGGACUAGUGUUUGGUACAAUAGUUUAUAGCGUUUGUAAGCUUGGAUCGCAGGGGGAGGGUGGGUGUACCUGUAGACACUCUGACGCUCAAAUCAGCAUGUCAACAACAAGAAAAUGGAUUAAAUGUAGCAAAAUAUCGUACCUUUGGAAUCUAUAAAAAGUCUCCUUAUAUAGUGAGGACAUGCAUGUGCCGUUGUUAAUGGCAAGAGUCGUUGCUCGACGGUUAAGGUUGCAGGAACCGUAACCGUCGAGCUUUACGAAAUGACAAUCAUGGAAACAUUAUAAUUUUGUUUGAAUUGGUGCCCCAAGUUGUUAAGAGCACCCGCACACGAAGAAGGGGUGUGAAGUGAAUGAUUGUUCCAAUAGUAGAUUGUGCAUGUUUUAUUGCGCUGCGAGCAUAAGCCUUUUAGAUUAGUUUUUCGUUAUGAUACGACAUCCACUCUUUUCACGAGACCAAAGAAUAAUUAAUUCACUUAAUAUUCAAAAUAUAAAGGUAUUACAAUUAAAAUUAAAAUAAAAUUGAAGGGAGCUUCUGUUUGCUCGCCUUAUGAUUCUUAAAAAUCACUAUGUUCGAAUUUAUCUAUCAGAACACAAGAAAAGUAAAUUCGGAUAGAUGUAGUUUUUAAGAAAUAUGUGUAGGGGUUAAAACUUAAAAGUAUGUCUAAAAUUGAGAUCUACAAAUUUGUUACUGCAUAUAGUUAAGAGAAGUAUUUAAAACAAGUACUAUCAUGCAGAGAAAAAGAAACUAGGUUGAAAUCGCAUAUAUCAACACUUGAAGAACAAAUAAUAAAAAUGAUAGAAACAAAUACAUUAGCUAUAGUACCUUUUACAAUAGAGUCACUAAACUUCAACACUCCAACGCAGCAGUGAAAUUACUAGUACUAGGUAACAAAGGAAGAAAUGCUGAUUAUGCAACAAAAGAGAUUCUAUAAGUUUUUUUUUUAUGAAAGGAGAUUUCGAAAAUUGUGAGGUCCAAGAAUUGCAAGUAAAAUGGAAAUGGAGAAAGAUCUAGUGUGAAAUUAGUUAUAUCGUUUCUGGGAUGUAAAUAAAGCAUGAUGAUAUACUUUAUAGUAAGAUUUCUUUUAGAGGAUACUUUAUAGUAGGAUGAAUAAUGCAAUGUUGGACAGAUGCAUUUAUGAAAUGUUUUUAUUCAUACCUAGUUUCUAAUCCACUCAUUUUUUAGUGGAGUGACAAGUGGUGUGCAACUAUUCGUAACUGAUUUAAUGAUCCACACAUCGUAUAUGAUUCUACUUUAAAUUGUAUCUGUCAAAUAACUUUGUUAGGGGUACUCCUUAUCACAUUAAAUUAUACUUUGAUUUGUCACAUUAAAUUAUGUUGGUCACCUUUAACUUAACAUGCAUUAAGAAUCCAAUGCCUCUUAGUUCGUCCAUCAAUGGAUGAUAUUUUAAUUAGUCCAGCUAUACAAAGUCUGAAAAGGACAUUAUAUUAAUCUUGUGUUAGGAAUGCUUUUAUAUAAAAUAAAAAAAAUACUUAAUGCUUUUUAUUUUAGGAUAACUCUUGCAUAGUCACUUACAAAUCCAGCUCAUUUAGACACACAAACAAAAACUCAUUAACCAAAUUUUUCAAUAAUAAUAAACACAAUUGUUUUUUUUUUUUUUUUUAUUUCUUCCUUUUUUUUCGUGUGUCUAAACAAAUUAAAUUUGUGAUUGUGACCGUACAAAUAAUGUUCAUUAUUUUAUGGGCGAUGUUAUUGAUCGCAAGGCAACUCACAGCGAAAUCAUCCCAAAAAGAAUUACAGCUAUUGGAUUUGUCAAAGCAAUAUAACCACAAGAGUAGAUGAAAGUUAAUGGAUCUCACUACCAUGCGAUCAUUUUGGGAUCAUGUCUUUCGCUAUAUCUAUCAUUACCCUUAUUUUAUAGAUAAAUUGCUUUAGGUUGAUUUGAUAAGGAGAGGAAAAAAAGGAAACAAACCCUAAACCUAAUACACUCGUGAGUCGAUCCAUGCCAUUAAGUUUUUUUAAUUAGUAGACGCCCAACUCAGUACCUUAGGGUUUAAAAUACUCACUCACAUAGUCACAUACAUUGAACAACAAUCACUUGUGAUAGACGGUUUAAGAUAUUGAAUCAUGAAAUUCUACUUUUUUUUUUUUUUUUUUUUUUUUUUUUUUCACUUUGUAUGAUCAAACUUUAUAUAUAACAACAUAUAACAGUUACAAAAGAUGUACACUAGUAAAAGUUCUAUAAACAUGAAAAUAUAGAUUAGCACGAGAGUCUAACUUAAUUACUAAUCACCAGCCACAUCAUUACAUUACUAAAUGUAAAUCAGGGUCAUUGCAUUCUAAUUUAAUGAAAUUAUGAUUCUUUUUUUGUAAAGGCUCAACUUUAUUUAAAAAUGUGCACAACUUGUACAAGACGAACAAGACGCACUGAGAAAUGAACAAAGAAAGGAGCGUCGUCUACACGACGGCGACGCCCCAAAACAGCCUACAGACAUGGAACGGAGGUCCCGCCCCGCUACAGCCAAACAACUACGAGGCAUAAAAGCAUCCAUACGUCCAACAACCGAUACAUAAGUAAGCUCGGCAAAUUUGGAUCUCAACAUCACAAAUUCAACACAAAUACAGUUAUUUUAUUAGAAUCUUGAUAUUCAUUUAGGACGUAUGGCAUACCAAGUUUGGAUGAAAGUAAGAAUCAAUGCUAGUAAAGCGGCUAAAAAUGCACCAUGGUGUAUUGAAAUGAGUAUUGCAAGCUUGAGCCAAUCAUAUCUUCCAUUUAUUUGUGUAAUUUUUUUCAAUUUCAUGUUUGAUGAGAAUAUAUUUCUUGCUAUAGGCUACUGCUUUUGUGUAGUCAAUGUGGCAAUACAUUUUUAUUGGCAAAUCAUCACCCAAAUCAUUGAAGAGUUUUGCCAAUUCUUUGUCGCUUCCAAGCAAGUUUUGAAAUACACCAGCUGAUCUAAGCUCUUUUACAUCGUCAGCAUUGUCAACCAAUGAAUCCAUGAAGCUAAAGAACGAGCAACAUUCAUAGUUGUAAUGAACAUCUGGACACAUCUCAUAUGCUACUAAGUUUCGAAAAAAAUAAGGUGACGUCAUUGAACAAAAAAAUAGGAAGCCUUAGUUCUCCAUUAAACCAUUUAGACUUGAACGAAAUGUUACUCCAGUUCCACAUCAUUGAAGAGAUUUGCCAAUUCUUCAUCGCUCCCAAGCAAGUUUUGAA
This 7064-nucleotide long non-coding RNA is filed under the name Medicago truncatula (barrel medic). RNAcentral's name for it is "long non-coding RNA (MTRU_LNC006118)". Lineage: Eukaryota; Viridiplantae; Streptophyta; Magnoliopsida; Fabales; Fabaceae. The record is from RNAcentral.